Podarcis lilfordi (Lilford's wall lizard) is the source of this 97-nucleotide non-coding RNA. Lineage: Eukaryota; Metazoa; Chordata; Lepidosauria; Squamata; Lacertidae. The record is from the annotation of a GenBank genome assembly.
GUGUGUGUGUGUUAGAAAGAGAGGAGAGAGGGAGAGAGGGAGAGAGAUGCCCCCCUCCCUCCCUCCCUCCUCCCUCCCUUUCUCUCCCUACCUCUGU